UUUUUUUUGUUAAAUUUAAACUCUUGUAUUUGUUAUCUCUUGAUUACAUGGUGGAGUUCUUUCAGCCCAGAAAAGUGUUGAAUUUAGGACAGUUUACCAAAAUGGUUGGAUAUGUUGCAUGUAAUAGCUGUUCUUUCUAUGAAUGUCAAUAGACGAUACAUUCGUGAUGAUAAAUGUCUUCUGCUGUUUUUUAUUUGAGUUGCCUAUUUGUGGUUAAAUAACAUUAUCUCAUGGUUUUCUUUUAUAAGUCCAUUUGGACAUUUUGUGUGUAAUGA
Molecule: unclassified non-coding RNA, 275 nt
Filed under: Hevea brasiliensis (rubber tree)
Lineage: Eukaryota; Viridiplantae; Streptophyta; Magnoliopsida; Malpighiales; Euphorbiaceae
Source: RNAcentral